ACAGCAGCAGCCGCGGUAAUACAGAGGGUGCGAGCGUUAAUCGGAUUUACUGGGCGUAAAGCGUGCGUAGGCGGCUUUUUAAGUCGGAUGUGAAAUCCCUGAGCUUAACUUAGGAAUUGCAUUCGAUACUGGGAAGCUAGAGUAUGGGAGAGGAUGGUAGAAUUCCAGGUGUAGCGGUGAAAUGCGUAGAGAUCUGGAGGAAUACCGAUGGCGAAGGCAGCCAUCUGGCCUAAUACUGACGCUGAGGUACGAAAGCAUGGGGAGCAAACAGGAUUAGAGACCCGUGUAGUCCCUGUCUCUUAUAC
RNAcentral lists this ribosomal RNA (305 nucleotides) under uncultured bacterium. RNAcentral describes it as "partial 16S ribosomal RNA". It matches the Rfam family "Bacterial small subunit ribosomal RNA", at positions 505 to 807 of the family's 1533-position model. The record is from RNAcentral.